Molecule: ribosomal RNA, 425 nt
Filed under: uncultured bacterium
Lineage: Bacteria
Description: bacterial SSU rRNA
Rfam family: Bacterial small subunit ribosomal RNA
Source: RNAcentral
GUGGGGAAUAUUGGACAAUGGGCGAAAGCCUGAUCCAGCAAUGCCGCGUGAGUGAAGAAGGCCUUAGGGUUGUAAAACUCUUUCGCCGGUGAAGAUGAUGACUGUAGCCGGUAAAGAAGCCCCGGCUAACUCCGUGCCAGCAGCCGCGGUAAUACGGAGGGGGCUAGCGUUGUUCGGAAUUACUGGGCGUAAAGCGCGCGUAGGCGGUGUAUCUAGUCAGAGGUGAAAGCCCUGGGCUCAACCCAGGAAUUGCCUUUGAUACUGGUAUACUUGAGUCCGGGAGAGGGUAGUGGAAUUUCCAGUGUAGAGGUGAAAUUCGUAGAUAUUGGAAAGAACACCAGUUGCGAAGGCGGCUACCUGGCCCGGUACUGACGCUGAGGCGCGAAAGCGUGGGGAGCAAACAGGAUUAGAAACCCUUGUAGUCC